AAUCGAGUCUUUGACGCAAGUUGCGCCCGAAGCCAUUAGGUUGAGGGCACGCCUGCCUGGGUGUCACACAUCGUCAUCCCCAUGCAAAUGUGCAUAGUAGGGGGAAAUUUGGUUUCCGGCAAGGCUUUCCUCGGGGUUGGUUCAAAAUUAAUUAAACGGCAAAUCCCCUCCCAAUAAAGGGGGAAUAAUUAAUUCUCAAAACCAAUCGGGGUUGGGGUACUUCAUGGAAUCUAAUGGGUUAACCCAAAAGGUUCUUAUGGAAACCUCAGGUCAGGCGGGGUUACCCGUUAAUUUUAACCUUAUCAUUAACCGAAGAAAAAAAAACUACCAAGGAUUCCCCUAUUAACGGCAAGCAAACCGGGAACACCCCACCAGGAAAAUCAAUGGCCUCCGGCUUUGGAUUUGUAUCCG
RNAcentral lists this ribosomal RNA (411 nucleotides) under Vigna frutescens. Its description in RNAcentral is "eukaryotic LSU rRNA". The stretch from base 261 to 411 matches the Rfam family "Eukaryotic large subunit ribosomal RNA", at positions 1 to 149 of the family's 3401-position model. The record is from RNAcentral. Lineage: Eukaryota; Viridiplantae; Streptophyta; Magnoliopsida; Fabales; Fabaceae.